GAUGAACGCUGGCGGCGUGCUUAACACAUGCAAGUCGAACGGGAAACCUUUUAUUGAAGCUUCUGCAGAUUUAGCUGGUUUCUAGUGGCGGACGGGUGAGUAACGCGUGGGUAACCUGCCCUAUACAGGGGGAUAACAACCAGACAUGGUUGCUAAUACCGCAUAAGCGCACAGGGCCGCAUGGUCCGGUGUGAAAAACUCCGGUGGUAUAGGAUGGACCCGCGUUGGAUUAGCCAGUUGGCAGGGUAACGGCCUACCAACGCGACGAUCCAUAGCCGGCCUGAGAGGGUGAACGGCCACAUUGGGACUGAGACACGGCCCAGACUCCUACGGGAGGCAGCAGUGGGGAAUAUUGCACAAUGGGGGAAACCCUGAUGCAGCGACGCCGCGUGAAGGAAGAAGUAUCUCGGUAUGUAAACUUCUAUCAGCAGGGAAGAUAGUGACGGUACCUGACUAAGAAGCCCCGGCUAACUACGUG
RNAcentral lists this ribosomal RNA (478 nucleotides) under uncultured bacterium. Its description in RNAcentral is "partial 16S ribosomal RNA". It matches the Rfam family "Bacterial small subunit ribosomal RNA", at positions 28 to 507 of the family's 1533-position model. The record is from RNAcentral.